Molecule: transfer RNA, 62 nt
Filed under: Limnadia lenticularis
Lineage: Eukaryota; Metazoa; Arthropoda; Branchiopoda; Diplostraca; Limnadiidae
Description: tRNA-Thr
Source: RNAcentral
GCUUUAUUAGUUUAUAAAGAAUUUUGGUCUUGUAAACCAAGGGAGGCUCCGGCCAUAAAGUA